This 433-nucleotide ribosomal RNA is filed under the name uncultured bacterium. RNAcentral describes it as "partial 16S ribosomal RNA". It matches the Rfam family "Bacterial small subunit ribosomal RNA", at positions 29 to 507 of the family's 1533-position model. The record is from RNAcentral.
AACGAACGCUGGCGGCAUGCCUAACACAUGCAAGUCGAACGAGACCUUCGGGUCUAGUGGCGCACGGGUGCGUAACGCGUGGGAACCUGCCCUUAGGUUCGGAAUAACUCCCCGAAAGGGGUGCUAAUACCGGAUAAUGUCUUCGGACCAAAGAUUUAUCGCCUUUGGAUGGGCCCGCGUUGGAUUAGCUAGUUGGUAGGGUAAAAGCCUACCAAGGCGACGAUUCAUAGCUGGUCUGAGAGGAUGAUCAGCCACACUGGGACUGAGACACGGCCCAGACUCCUACGGGAGGCAGCAGUGGGGAAUAUUGGACAAUGGGCGAAAGCCUGAUCCAGCAAUGCCGCGUGAGUGAUGAAGGCCUUAGGGUUGUAAAGCUCUUUUACCCGGGAUGAUAAUGACAGUACCGGGAGAAUAAGCUCCGGCUAACUCCGUG